Molecule: long non-coding RNA, 2462 nt
Filed under: Mus musculus (house mouse)
Lineage: Eukaryota; Metazoa; Chordata; Mammalia; Rodentia; Muridae
Description: long non-coding RNA chr10:99023677-99026139
Source: RNAcentral
GGUGUUUCUAUUGAAACUGUACUAAAUUUUUGCCUACAAUUUAUCUUGUUACAUAUGUAGAUAAAUUGCUAAUACUAAUAGCCAAAUAGAUAACACUAAUGCUUUGUUUAAAAAACAAAAAAGAAAAAAGAAAACAAGACAAAAAAAAAAACAACAAAAACCAUGAGCAGUGGUGUUCUAAUGAAGUUAUGGCAUCUGUCCUAAUUAGUUUCUUAAAUACAUUUACUACUUAAUGGUUUUGAAAGAACUGUUUAAUUUUUAAAUUUUUUGAAAACUUGCUAAUAACCUUUUGUUCAGAAUUUAGUAGAUUGUUUAUUGCGGGACAUCAAAUACACAAUGAAAGAUGCUUGAAAUGCCUUUGUUAUUUCAGGCCAAUCAAAUUAAACUAUCAAAGUACAAGAGAAACCUUUAGUCUUUUUUUUUUUUUGUUUUUGUCUAAAUAUGUUAGUUCAGUGAUGUCUUAGUGAACUGUGAGUGACUGCAUUGAUUUUUCUAAUAACUGCGUAGAGACCUUCACACAGCAUAGAGGGGGCUGUUGGCAUUUUGAGAAAGGUUAAUAGAGAGAGGCAUACAUCGUUUCCUUUUGUUUUUGAAACUUGUUUGUAAACAUAAAUAAAUAUGCCCUUUUAUUAAAUAAAUACACAGCAAUGGUUCUUCAGACAGCUCAGCUCCUUGGUUCUCUACGUGUGCCGCAUUGGCCUGUCUCCUCUAACCACAACUAGAAUAAAUUUCAAGCUGGUGGCAGCCUCAGGAAGGGCUGUUUGAAUCCUUUCUUGGUCACCCCAUGGAGUCGAGCUGAGACAGCAGUUUUGCCACCUAGCACACCCUUCAUAGAAUCUACUUUUAUCUAAAGUAAAGUAGUCUCGCCAUUUUAUACGAAGUAAUGACCACAGUUGUCUGAUGUAUUUGUUUUUUAUUAAGUGUCCCAGUCACAGAUUAGAUUAAAGGGAUGGCGCAUGAAGAUUUGAGGAAGCGGCUAAACACGAUCUCUGUAAUAACCAACUCUAUGCCGAACUCUAUGCUCAUCUCUGAGACAAUUGAAUUUCCAGGCUCUCUGCUUCUUUUCUGUCUACCUUCUUCCUUUGUCUGCCUCUCGUCUUGACCUUUUAGAAAGUGGUAUUGUUUCAGGGCGCAGAUCUCGCCAGUUAAACAAUCCUCAGGCUGACCUAAAGUUUACGAGGACUACUACAUCCAAGAAUGCUGACCUAGCAAAGAAACAUCUAGUUGAUGGUGCUUGAUAUAUAUAUAUAUUUUUUUUUUGGGCGGGUGGGAGGAAUCUUUUUCUCCCCAUCAGUUGCCUGCAGUAACUCUCUGCAAGUCUUAGAAACACAUCGGCUCUGUCCCAUCGAUCACUGUACAUUUUUACUCAUCAGGUGUUUGUAGUUAUUCAUACUGUAAAAAGAGGUAGCAUGAUAUGCUGGGACGCAUAUUUAGACCAGGAGCCCAAGGUGGACUCCUCGUCUUGAAUUUGCCAUUAACGUGCUGCAUGAUCUUGGGGCAGUGACUCACCCUGACGGAGGGUGGGGGACUCCUCUUGAAGAACCCUUUCAACUCUAAGAAUUGACCCUAUCCACUGAAGAAGCCUGUGAGGCAUAGGGAAUAGAGAAAGGGAAAUGUUCUCAGCUUUCUUUUUUAUUUUGGUUAUGCUUAAAUAUGAAUGUAAUUACCAAGAGAAUGAGACCUGCAUGUGCUCUGGAGGGUUUGUGUCUAGCUUUUCCGGUUUUUUUUUUUUUUUUCCAAAACUCAAGGCAAUGGCUUUUUACCCCACCUCUAAAUCCAUAAGUGGGUCUUAGGACAUCCGUGAAGUCAUAAUAGCAAAACACGCUCGGUGUGCGUUUCUCUCUUUGAGACACUGUAAUUUCUACCAGAAAUGUCCACAGCAUUAUGUAAGUAGGAAAAAAAAAAAAAAAUACAAGCAAGCUGUUAAAGAUCUUGGAUCCCAUUCUAUAGUGUGUAUACCUAAAUCAACAUCUGUAAUUCACAUUUUUCUCUUUUAUUCUCUAACCAAAAUCAGAAAGAAAAAAAAAACUUGUUUAAUUUUGCAUCCCAAAUGUUUUUAAUCUUUGUAUAUUUUUUAGACUCCCUUUUCUCCCCAUCAUUGCCUUUCCGUGGUUGUAAAUAGUUGUCACACUCUGAGGAUGAGUUACGUCUUGUCAUCUUACAAAUAUGUGAUAUGGUAAUUUUCAUAACAGAUUAUCAGUUUUGAACCAAGAAAAUGGUGAUUUGUUUAUAAGAGAAAAAAAAACAAAACAACAAAAAAAACCACCUGGCUUCAUUUCUGUGAAAUUGCUCUUUGAAACUUUCAUUUCCACGUGUAAGCCAACUGGGAUACUACCGUGAUGGUGUUGAUUUCUUUUAAUGAUGCUUACCAUCUCUUUUAGCCACUGAGCCUUUUAUUAUUUGUCUAUUUGUAAAGUUUAUUUGUCUUAACUCAUUUAAUAAAUAUACUGUUUAUCUGUUUC